This is a non-coding RNA of Phacochoerus africanus (Common warthog), 591 nucleotides long. Lineage: Eukaryota; Metazoa; Chordata; Mammalia; Artiodactyla; Suidae. The record is from the annotation of a RefSeq genome assembly.
AUAGCCCAGCAAUUCUUCUCUCACCUUGUCAGGCUCGCCUUACCUUGCAGAGCCUUGAAAUUGAGGAAGAAGGAAUUUCCCUUCUAAUGGAAGAACACAAACAUGCUUCUCUCCAGCCUUCUGAAGGUGGUCCUGGCUUCACUGUGGCUCGGAUCUAGUAUGGCCCAAAGUGUAACUCAAGAUAAGCCAACAAAAGAGGUACCAGAGAAGGAGGCUGUGACCUUGGAUUGUACAUAUGAUACCAGUUAUCCAAAUUAUGGUCUCUUCUGGUACAAGCACCCCAGCAGUGGGGGGAUGACUUUCCUUAUUCAUCAGGACUCUUAUAGCCAGGAAAAUGCCACAGAAGGUCGCUACUCACUGAAUUUCCAGAAGGCAAACAAAUCCAUCCAACUUGUCAUCUCAGAUGCACAGGUGGAGGACUCUGCAGUCUACUUCUGUGCACUGAGUGAGCCCACAGUGAGAGGUGUGUUGGAGGGAGGUGUACCAAAACCCACAGUUCUCCUUGAUACAUCCACCUGCUGUUGGGUCCAGGGCUGAGAGUUGCCAUCACAGACAGGAAGUGGUUAGGGCUGUGGCAGCACAGGUGUAGGG